RNAcentral lists this ribosomal RNA (247 nucleotides) under uncultured bacterium. RNAcentral's name for it is "partial 16S ribosomal RNA". It matches the Rfam family "Bacterial small subunit ribosomal RNA", at positions 105 to 334 of the family's 1533-position model. The record is from RNAcentral.
CGGGGACCGGGGGUACGGGGUAGGUAAGUUAAGUCUCGGUAACGGCGCGAUGGAGGGGGAUAACUACUGGAAACGGUAGCUAAUACCGCAUAACGUCGCAAGACCAAGAGGGGGACCUUCGGGCCUCUUGCCAUCGGAUGUGCCCAGAUGGGAUUAGCUAGUAGGUGGGGUAACGGCUCACCUAGGCGACGAUCCCUAGCUGGUCUGAGAGGAUGACCAGCCACACUGGAACUGAGACACGGUCCAG